This 373-nucleotide ribosomal RNA is filed under the name uncultured Alphaproteobacteria bacterium. RNAcentral's name for it is "bacterial SSU rRNA". It matches the Rfam family "Bacterial small subunit ribosomal RNA", at positions 521 to 896 of the family's 1533-position model. The record is from RNAcentral. Lineage: Bacteria; Pseudomonadati; Pseudomonadota; Alphaproteobacteria.
UAAUACGGGGGGGGCAAGCGUUGUUCGGAAUUACUGGGCGUAAAGAGCGAGCAGGUGGUUCAUUAAGUCAAUUGUGAAAGCUCAAGGCUUAACCUUGAAAUUGCUUUUGAUACUGAUGGACUAGAGUUUGGGAGAGGAUAGUGGAAUUCUAAGUGUAGAAGUGAAAUUCGUAGAUAUUUAGAGGAACACCGAUAGCGAAGGCAACUAUCUGGCCCUUUACUGACACUCAGAAGCGAAAGCUUGGGUAGCAAACAGGAUUAGAUACCCUGGUAGUCCAUGCUGUAAACGAUGAGUGCUAGAUGUUAGAAGUUUACUUCUAGUAUCGAAGCUAACGCGUUAAGCACUACGCCUGGGGAGUACGGCCGCAAGGCUA